This is a long non-coding RNA of Chroicocephalus ridibundus (black-headed gull), 6434 nucleotides long. RefSeq lists it as uncharacterized. The transcript has 7 exons. Lineage: Eukaryota; Metazoa; Chordata; Aves; Charadriiformes; Laridae. The record is from RefSeq and is a predicted model, not a curated record.
GGGCCUUUCCCGCCUGUGUGGUGGGUGCGGCGCGGCCUCGCCUCACCGCCUCGGCGAGGGGUAGCCGGUCCCGUUUGUCUCGGCAGCCAGCUGAGUCUGUGGUGCGUGGGACCAGCGCCGCCGCAGAGGGCUGGCGCCAUUCUUAGCGGGGCUGCGCUUCAGGGGGCGGCGCAGGCCUGAGGAGCAUGUCACUGAACACCGCUCUGAGCUUGUGCAUCCAGCCUGAUGCUGUCUUCUGGCUGGCUGGGCAGGAGUGCUGGUGAAGGAGGUAUUUACUUUUCAGUUAAUACAACAUUACAGUUAUUGUCAUAAUGACCUUCAUCUGGGCCAAGCAGCUAGAGAGUUAAGCUAUAGAAAGAAUGCCAGAAAGGACUGCAGCAAGAAAAUGUGAGGUAUUUCUCCCUCGCUUUCCUGCCAGCCCUGAGCUGGGUCACCUUUCCUCAUCAUAUCCAUCAAACUCAUGUGACUUGGGAAGGAUGAAAAAUGGUUGGGAAGAGGCAGUGGUCAAUCCUGAGAACAUUAGAUACCUCCCUUCGGCUGUAAUAAACUCCUCAGCUCUGCCAGUGAUCACAGACUGAAUGAGUGGAGAGGCGAUGCAAGGUCUAUUACAACAGUGGCUGAUCUCGGUCGCGCAGAAUGAGAAGGAGAAGCUUGCUGCCUUCACAGGGAACCCCUGGCCCAGUGCUUUGGGACAUUGCACAGCAAGUUUAAUUUUGAUUCACGUUUUACUAUCAAAAAUAAUCUUGCAAAAACCUGGCUGAACUUCCUCAGAAGGAUGUUUGUUUCAGAAACAGCACCUUCCAGGCACCAAAGCUAUAAUACAAAUUAGUCUCAACUGUGUGAAGUGUUAAACCUACUGUUCUUGUGUUGCAGCUGUUCCUAGAUGAAGUCCCUCAAUGUACCUUUUCAUAAUUCGCCCUCUCUGUCCUGACUAUAGUUACGCUUCCCUUAAAAAAUGGUAUCUAUUACAGCGGAAAAGCAUUCAUAUUCAUUCUUCUAGUAGUCCAAAAACUUAAUUGAUAUAGCUACUACUGCUCUGAUUUUUUUACCGCGUCCAACUGUAGACAGUCAGGCAAAUGUACCAAAAUAUCUCAAGAAUGUGUGUAGAUAAUACACCGAGUGAAAGAAUUUCCACAAUAAAGGUGUGUGCAUUACAGUAGCCUUGAGAUAGGGCUGACUUCUUCCAAAACAAGUUCUUCAGGUUUUAUGUGACUAUUUAAUACACUUCUGUGUUCAAGAAAAUAACUCUUGCUCUUAGUCUGUACCAUGAAACCAGUAUAGCAGGAGGCACCAUGGGCUGGUGAACAGAUCAGGAGACAGAAGAUGUCUCUUCUAUCUGUUUAAAGAUUUUUCAGGGCCAUUUCAACUCCUACUUCCCCUUCUGCGAAGUGUUACAGCUACUAUUAAUUUUGCUAGUUAUAUGAGCAGAUUUUUUUAAACUGAAAGUCACUUUCUUCAAAGUAUAAGGUAUCUUUAAUAGAGAAGUCAUAAGUAUUAGGUGAACAAACUCAUUGUUUUCCAUAUGCCUGUGAAUGAAAAAGCUUCUGGGCAGUGUCACUGGAUGCAAAUAUUUGCAUUUUGUUCAUCUGUUUUAAAUGUGAAUGCUUUCUAUAUAUCAUCUGGAAGAAAAAAAAAUAUAUAUAUAUAUUCCUUUUAGAGAGGAUUGUCUUUCUAAAAAAUACUGACAAAGGGUAUCUAUAACAUGGCUUUUCACUUACUGCAUUUCUGUACCCUCUUCUGCCCCACAAGAUUCUGCAGUGUUCAAUGGCUUGCAGGCUCAAAGGUAAUUUCACUUAUCCUGAAAAGCAGCUCUAUCUAAGGUGAAGUCAGAACCACAGCACUGGACAAUAAGAUUUCUAGGUGAGGGAGUGACUAACCAUUUAUCCACUUGAAACUACCAGUACAUAUUUUUAAAGUAGGGGUGCUACCAGCAGAGUACAACUUACUGUCAAGUGAAACCAUGUGUGUAACAGAUGCUGGCAGUCUGAGUAUAAUACAUACCUCUGCAUCCAAAUCAUUUCUAGUCGUCUUUUUGUGAUGGGAUUGUGAAUUGCACUUUUUUGUUUUUGUAAUUAAAGGGUGGAACAGAUGGUGAGAACUUGAGGAGCUGCAUCCAUUAAACUAACGUAGAGAAUGUCUCCACAUUAUAAUUUAAUAUAAUGGGAUUUUACUUCAGUGAAAUAAAACUAUACAGUCUAGUGCUUGGGAAUGUUUACUAUAUGAGAAGCUUCACUGUUAAAAGAUUUCACUGAGUCAUGCUAUGACUGUCUGCCAAAUACCAAUCAUAUGACCAACCCAGUUAAAAAGGGGUGUUUCUUCGUGCCAAUAUAUUUCACAUGCCACCCUACAGUGAACCUUUUUUUGACUAUACACCUGUGGAUUUUAUGUAACACCAAAGGAGGACAAUGUAAUCUGACUGCAUAUGUUUAAAAAAGAGUAGCUAUUAGGAAGCACAAGGUAGCCAGUCUGGUGUUACGAAUGGUGUAACAAGAAGGGCUGGGUUUGACUUGAUUUAAGGCAGACAAUCCAAACCGAUCAUUGGUACUGGUAAAAAAACAAUGAAUGUUUUGCCAGUUUCAGGAAUCGAGAUGCUACUUUUUGGAUGACAAUCAACUUCAGUAGUUCAGAGAACAAACUUUCUCAUUUCUGUUGAGAGAGGGUUUCUAAUUACUCUAGUUAAGACAGAAAAAGAAAAUCCAAAAGUAGAGGCAUGAAUUUUAUAAGCAGCAAUGGACACUGCUAGGUUUUCCUAAAUCUCAGAAAAUAUUUAUACUUAACUGUAAAUAUUUGAGUGAAACUUGUCUAAGCUACAUUUUGGGAAUCCUGUAUUUUAUUACUGAAAUGUUUUUUAUCCAUGGAAAGUUCCAGCAAAUGUUUUGUACUAGUGAUUCUUUACUCCAGCAAGCUCCAGCUGUAGAUACAUAAUACUCGUCUCCCACGCAGCUCCACCACAGCUAGCAAUCAAUACAUUGUCUUCUGCAUACAAAGGCUAUUCCUCUAAUAAUCAGACACUGGGAUAGGGAUGAAAUCAUUAUGGAAAAUAGUGCUAGAAAGAACACAAAGACUCACAAUGGGCCCAAGUGUCUUUGCUGCAGCCCUCAAUCCAACUAAAAUACACUACAGAUUAACUUGUCUCAGUGACUACUGAAUAAGAAAGUUAAAGGGACGAGCACACAUACCAUAGAAAGUUUAAAUUACACUUCCCUUCAGUGUAAUUUGUGAAAUCACUGUUACGCUGCGUGGGAAUAACUGAGAGGUCACAGAGGAUUAUGUGGACAUUUAUAUUUCAUUCUGGCUUAAGUGUGUUCAAGUCCAGUGAUAUCAACAGAAUUGUUUCCAUCUUCAGUAAUGCUGCAUUUGCUUCUAGGACUAUUCUUUCUAAUGCAAGAAUAAUACAUUUAGUAACUGCAUGUAUUUAUCUCUCACUGAGAUCUCAGUUUUUCAGAUUUUCAGCAUUCAUCUACUGAAAUGUCAUUUUAGACAUACUGAAGCUUCUCCACCUGGUGUAUGGAAAUGAAAAAUAGGAUGGUUAAUAGUUUCAGAAUAUAACACAUCCCACCUCUCAGAACAAAGCAGAACAUUGCUUUAAUGGCAGCUAGUUUUGCCCCAGAACCUGAUACCUGGUACUUAAGUCUUUGCCUACCGCUGCAUGAGACGAGAUGUAUUACUCCCUUUUCCCUGCUUCCCUUCGUAAGGGAAGGAAAACUUUCACUAUACUUCCUCUAUAAGCUCUCAGUGGAGGAAUGUCCCCUGCACUGGCUGUUUCCCUCUUCUCUAACUAUUCACUUAUCCUUCCUCCCCUUCAAAAGGUAGGGGCUUCUGCUUUGGAGAAACAUUCAUACAGUUGAAGCAAAGCACUCUGGUGUUAGUGAGCAGUUUCUCCUUUGGCAUUGUGUGCUCUUCAAACUGCAGCAAAACGCAUUCUAUGAGAUAAUUAUCAGCUGUAUUCAGGUGACUCAAGGGAAGAGUCAAGUUCUGAAUUUUGAGAGGAUGUUUGUAUAUCUGAUGUAAUUUUGUCUCAUCGCAGUCUGCGUAAGCUUUCUAUGCAACAGAACAAAGGAAAGAAUUAACCAAUGGGUCCGAAAUAUUUACACUACGAAAAUAACUAUUUUGUUUCAACAGCUGGUGCAACUUUUUCUCAACUAAAUCUAAAGAAUGCCGUUGAACAGAGGUUUAAAAAGUACAGCUUUUACUAUCAGUAACACCGCACAACCAACAAGAAGGAAAAUCAGUUUGAAACACUUCAAAAUAAUGCUUGAUAAAAUCAUUAAAAACAAACAGAUAGAAACUGAUGGCAAAGAGCGGAACUCUUGGAGCUGCAGGGUUGGUCUAACUGUGCUAGAUCCUCUUGCGUAGCCCAUGGCUGGUGAUGCUGCAAUCUGGAUGUGCCUCCAGCUGCAUCAUAACAUCUAGGAUGUCUGGAUCUUGUUCUAUUGCUGUGUAACCUAGUUCACGGUUUUUGGCUCAUCUUCCUGAAUUGGUGCAGCGGGUGGGUGGAAGGUGAGUUAUUAUUUUAGCUCCCAGUUCUAGGGUAGGUAAGGGCCCCAGAGUUUUAUCUAAAUUAUACUGGAGAAAAUAUUCCCUUUAGGAGCACUCUGCUGGCUGAGGACUGUCCCAAAAUACUCCUCUAAUUUGCUAGAUAGGGGUUAUGAAUGGACUAUCAGUGUAGCUGUGGCAACUAUACAUCAACUCAAGGCUUUUUCACCUCCCAUGCUGCCCCUUUCUCUCUACAGCAAACGAUCUGUCCCUAUAUCUUUAUUUCCAAAUUGCAUUUAUGUGUGCUGCUCUACCCUUAGUGCUUCUGUGGAUGUGACUCGUGCACAAACAGAGCCUGAAGUUCUUACAGUUGUGCAGUUUUUGAGCAUGGAAUAGGAAACAAGAGACAGGUACCAUAAGAUCAUCAACUUAGAUCUUCUGGCCAGCCAGGAAAACGUAGCAUCUCUGACUACAUGUUCUUCCUCCAACACAUAACAUCUUCUCUGAGCAUAUCAGAAGAUCCAAGGGUUUUGCAGCCCAGCUCGUGUGGGUCCAGGCUCCCUGCCAGCAGUGUUUCCAGAGCUGAUUUUACCUUAUCUCACAUUCAUACCUUCUUCUUCUGCAUACCUGGAGGAUAUCACCUAAAUUUAAGACUGCCUGCCUAGAGCUUCUUAAAUUAAAGGGCCCACCUGAGAAAGGCAGGAUCCCUCUCCCAAUAAACAGCGACAUUCUUCCAUAAGCAGUUUAGAACAUCUGAUUGAAGAGUUUAAUUAUUGCCUAAUUGGGGUGAUGUGAAGCAUUGUCUGAGAAUCUCUUCUCUUCAUUGGCUGUUGGUAUGAAAACAGAUGCUUCUAACCUAAACAAAUAAAUCAGAUGUCUGAAAUAGAUGGGCUGAUACCCCUCUAAAUGCAUGGGAAGAGACCAGCUUCCUGUAUCACAUCCUAAUUCUGAAAGAAAAUCCUCUGCCCCUCCAUUUCCAAUUUGCUUCCAGCCGCCACAGCUGGAUGAUGGCAGCCACUUCCCAAGUGGGUCAUUUCAUAAUGUGCCUUUAGGCUGUCUCUGUGUGGUGCCUCUUAAACUUGGGACACCUAAAGAAACCUGAACAAACAUACUAGACAAAACAAAACAAAUCUUCCUGGAAGCUCUCAAAAUGAUUGUGAAAGGACUCUGAAGGGUUACAAAGACUUUUGACGACUCAAAGUAGCCGAAUGGAUAAAGUGCCUUCCCUUUCUUCUCUCAUACACUUCAAAACUCCAUUUCAUUUUAAGAAUUAAAUGUAGUUGUCAUCACUUAACACCUCCUGGAAAUAUAUCUUUAACACAAAGGCAACCCAUCAUCAACAAAAUCAGUGACUCUGGAGAUGUACACACACUUCCCACAACAACUAUCAGAGAUUUGGAAGGACAUAACAGGACCAGAGAGGGAUGGAGCAAACCCUCCCCAGCACUGUAAUUCAGCCAUGGGGGGAGAGCUUGGCCGCCGGGCUUUCCUUUUCCCCGUCCCCCACGAAUGAAUGAGAUCCUUCAUUUCUCUGAAGCAACUGCAUUUUCUAUUGCCAGAGAAAGGAUGAGUCAGAAAAGCCUGCUGCUGGUGAAAGCUUCGCUGGUCUUUACUCAACAGAGCGCUUCAUCAUUUUUUGUUUGAGUUUUCGUGGUGUUUAAUAGGUUAUUAGAAAUGCCUGGUAUCACCAACAGCAUUCUGGAUUUGUAAAAGAGCUUUUUGCUUGCCGUUUAUUUUAAGACAUAAUGAACAAGCUCUCCUUUUGGAAGAAGACAUUUUAGGUAUGCUCUUAAAAAUGAAAUAGAGCAAGCUAGUAAAAAAGAAAAUGUGUCUCAAUUAGAUUAUUCUUCCUCCAUCUGCUCUCUCAGAUCUUUUUAUGGCAGGAAAUUGCCUAUUGGAUUUUUGAUUUUGCUUAAUGGAAAUGGCAAAACCUAAAUCCAUUCCCGUUCCCACUGACA